AUUGAACGCUGGCGGCAGGCCUAACACAUGCAAGUCGAGCGGAUGAAGGGAGCUUGCUCCUGGAUUCAGCGGCGGACGGGUGAGUAAUGCCUAGGAAUCUGCCUGGUAGAGGGGGAUAACGUCCGGAAACGGGCGCUAAUACCGCAUACGUCCUGAGGGAGAAAGUGGGGGAUCUUCGGACCUCACGCUAUCAGAUGAGCCUAGGUCGUAUUAGCUAGUUGGUGGGGUAAAGGCCUACCAAGGCGACGAUCCGUAACUGGUCUGAGAGGAUGAUCAGUCACACUGGAACUGAGACACGGUCCAGACUCCUACGGGAGGCAGCAGUGGGGAAUAUUGGACAAUGGGCGAAAGCCUGAUCCAGCCAUGCCGCGUGUGUGAAGAAGGUCUUCGGAUUGUAAAGCACUUUAAGUUGGGAGGAAGGGCAGUAAGUUAAUACCUUGCUGUUUUGACGUUACCAACAGAAUAAGCACCGGCUAACUUCGUG
RNAcentral lists this ribosomal RNA (484 nucleotides) under uncultured bacterium. Its description in RNAcentral is "partial 16S ribosomal RNA". It matches the Rfam family "Bacterial small subunit ribosomal RNA", at positions 30 to 507 of the family's 1533-position model. The record is from RNAcentral.